Molecule: long non-coding RNA, 619 nt
Filed under: Homo sapiens (human)
Lineage: Eukaryota; Metazoa; Chordata; Mammalia; Primates; Hominidae
Description: HSALNT0042231
Source: RNAcentral
AGCCCGUUGGUGUGCGGCACGCUGCGGUCCGUACCCGGCCCGGGGCCCGCGCCCGCGCCCGGGUGGAAGCGGGCCUUGGCGUAGUUGCUCACGAACUGGUCCUGCAGGAAAGAGCCGGCCAUGGCGUAGCGGGCCCCGGGCACGAUCUGCGAGCGCGGCGAGUCGUUGGGCGAGGGGGUCAGGCGGUCCAUGUCACAGCCGGUGUAGAUCCUGCGGAGCAAGAUACAGACCAUCAAGGGAACGACUUCCCUCUUCUCUUGCUCUCUCUCGUCAAGUGUACUGGGGUACUGAGAGAGGGGCACAAGCAAGGACUUUCAUCCCACUUCUCCAACAUAUGUGUGCACAUUAAGGCAGAUUUACCUAGGGAGUAAGAUGCUCUUUGCCCAGUGGGCCUUUCCUCUGCGGUCAGUUUAUGAGUGAAAUUUCUAAGCAAGAUUGUUUCAGAAACCCCUAGGAAAAAGCCGCGCACGCAGUAAUCAUGAAAGACUGGCCUUCACCCGUGUUCUGGAACCCGAGGUUUGCUGCUGGAAGCCUCCAAAGUACUUAGUGUCUAUUGUUUCCCCUGUGUGAAACUUUCACUCCCACCUCUACUAAUACAAACAAGAAUUACUACUCUGAA